UGAGUAACCUGCCCUCAGCUUUGGGAUAACCCUCGGAAACGGGGGCUAAUACCGGAUAUGACGCGUCACGGCAUCGUGGUGUGUGGAAAAUGUUUGCGGCUGGGGAUGGGCUCGCGGCCUAUCAGCUUGUUGGUGGGGUGAUGGCCUACCAAGGCGGCGACGGGUAGCCGGCCUGAGAGGGCGACCGGCCACACUGGGACUGAGACACGGCCCAGACUCCUACGGGAGGCA
This 231-nucleotide ribosomal RNA is filed under the name uncultured bacterium. RNAcentral describes it as "partial 16S ribosomal RNA". It matches the Rfam family "Bacterial small subunit ribosomal RNA", at positions 118 to 350 of the family's 1533-position model. The record is from RNAcentral.